GGGCCCGCACAAGCGGUGGAGCAUGUGGUUUAAUUCGAUGCAACGCGAAGAACCUUACCAGGGUUUGACAUAGUACGAAGUUUUUUGAAAAAAAAUCCACCUUCGGGAACGUACAUACAGGUGGUGCAUGGCUGUCGUCAGCUCGUGUCGUGAGAUGUUGGUUAAGUCCCGCAACGAGCGUAACCCUUGUUUUAGUUGCCUUUCGAGGAUAUUUAGAAAGACUGCCGAUUUAAAUCGAGGAAGGUAAGGACGACGUCAAGUCAUCAUGCCCCUUACACUCUGGGCUACACACGUGCUACAUUGGGUAGAACAAUAAGUUGCUAAGUUGCGAAACCAAGCG
RNAcentral lists this ribosomal RNA (340 nucleotides) under uncultured bacterium. RNAcentral's name for it is "bacterial SSU rRNA". It matches the Rfam family "Bacterial small subunit ribosomal RNA", at positions 917 to 1269 of the family's 1533-position model. The record is from RNAcentral.